GAAGUAAGCUGGGCAAUCGCCGGUGCAGUGCCGAAAGGCCGCACGGGAGGAAAGUCCGAGCUCCAUAGGGCAGGGUGCCGGAUAACGUCCGGCGAGAGCGAUCUUAGGGAAAGUGCCACAGAAAUGUAGACCGCCGAUGGUCCGUGCUUGCAUGGACACAGGUAAGGAUGCAACGGUGCGGUAAGAGCGCACCAGCAGCUCGGAGACGAGAUGGCUAGGUAAACCCCACUCGGAGCAAGACCGGAUAGGAGUGCAUAUGUGGUUGCCCGCCACGCACUCGGGUUGGUCGCUUGAGUCGGCUGGCAACAGUCGACCUAGAUAGAUGAUUGCUACUCCAAAGUGCGAGGUAUCACGAGGGCAUUACGUGUCCAUUCGAUGCCGCUUGAAGCACAGGAGCACAGAACUCGGCUUACAGGCUUGCUUCUUCA
Molecule: RNase P RNA, 428 nt
Filed under: Alicyclobacillus fastidiosus
Lineage: Bacteria; Bacillati; Bacillota; Bacilli; Caryophanales; Alicyclobacillaceae
Description: RNase P RNA component class A
Rfam family: Bacterial RNase P class A
About the family: Ribonuclease P (RNase P) is a ubiquitous endoribonuclease, found in archaea, bacteria and eukarya as well as chloroplasts and mitochondria. Its best characterised activity is the generation of mature 5'-ends of tRNAs by cleaving the 5'-leader elements of precursor-tRNAs.
Source: RNAcentral